Molecule: signal recognition particle RNA, 309 nt
Filed under: Macaca fascicularis (crab-eating macaque)
Lineage: Eukaryota; Metazoa; Chordata; Mammalia; Primates; Cercopithecidae
Description: Metazoan signal recognition particle RNA (ENSMFAG00000016315.2)
Rfam family: Metazoan signal recognition particle RNA
About the family: The signal recognition particle (SRP) is a universally conserved ribonucleoprotein. It is involved in the co-translational targeting of proteins to membranes.
Source: Rfam by way of RNAcentral
ACAGGGAAAGGUGGUGCAUGCCUAUAUUCUCAAUUUUUUGGGAGGCUGAGACAGGGGCAUUGCUUGAGGCAAGGAUUUCUAAGAUAUAGUGUGUCUUGGCAGUCAGAUGUCCACACUAAGUUUUUCAUCAGUGUGGUAACCUCCUGUGAGCAGGAGACUGCCAGGUUGCUCAAAGAAGGGUAAACUAUCCCAGCUCAGAAAUGAAGCAGUCAAAACUCUCAUGCUGAUCCCGUAGUGGGAUCACACCUGUGAAUAGUCACAAUAGUCACGGCAUUCCAGCCUGGACAACAUAACGAUACCCUGUGUCUU